Molecule: transfer RNA, 70 nt
Filed under: Grifola frondosa (maitake)
Lineage: Eukaryota; Fungi; Basidiomycota; Agaricomycetes; Polyporales; Grifolaceae
Rfam family: tRNA
About the family: Transfer RNA (tRNA) molecules are approximately 80 nucleotides in length. Their secondary structure includes four short double-helical elements and three loops (D, anti-codon, and T loops). Further hydrogen bonds mediate the characteristic L-shaped molecular structure. tRNAs have two regions of fundamental functional importance: the anti-codon, which is responsible for specific mRNA codon recognition, and the 3' end, to which the tRNAs corresponding amino acid is attached (by aminoacyl-tRNA synthetases). tRNAs cope with the degeneracy of the genetic code in two manners: having more than one tRNA (with a specific anti-codon) for a particular amino acid; and 'wobble' base-pairing, i.e. permitting non-standard base-pairing at the 3rd anti-codon position.
Source: Rfam by way of RNAcentral
GGAAACGAACUCGAGUGUAGAGUAUUUGCCUUUUAAGCUUAUAGUCUUGGUUCAAGUCCAAGUGUUUUCA